This 494-nucleotide ribosomal RNA is filed under the name uncultured bacterium. Its description in RNAcentral is "partial 16S ribosomal RNA". It matches the Rfam family "Bacterial small subunit ribosomal RNA", at positions 29 to 523 of the family's 1533-position model. The record is from RNAcentral.
AUUGAACGCUGGCGGCAUGCCUUACACAUGCAAGUCGAACGACGCUAGGGGCAACUCUAGCGAGUGGCGUACGGGUGAGUAAUGCAUCGGGACGUGCCCUCUCGUGGGGGAUAACCAGUCGAAAGAUUGGCUAAUACCGCAUGAGCUCGAGAGAGGAAAGCGGGGGACCGCAAGGCCUCGCGCGAGAGGAGCGGCCGAUGCCCGAUUAGCUAGUUGGUGGGGUAAUGGCCCACCAAGGCGACGAUCGGUAGCUGGUCUGAGAGGACGACCAGCCACACUGGGACUGAGACACGGCCCAGACUCCUACGGGAGGCAGCAGUGGGGAAUUUUGGACAAUGGGGGCAACCCUGAUCCAGCCAUGCCGCGUGUGUGAAGAAGGCCUUCGGGUUGUAAAGCACUUUCGGACGGAACGAAUCGCGCGGGUGAACAAUCCGCGUGGAUGACGGUACCGUAAGAAGAAGCACCGGCUAACUACGUGCCAGCAGCCGCCGCGG